Molecule: non-coding RNA, 989 nt
Organism: Paramuricea clavata
Lineage: Eukaryota; Metazoa; Cnidaria; Anthozoa; Malacalcyonacea; Plexauridae
Source: the annotation of a GenBank genome assembly
AAAAAAAUGGAAACACUUCGGAAGUUUACUACAGACAUACAUGAAGGUAUGGUGAAUGGUAACAAGAAAACUGAAGAUGUUAUUAAAAGAAAUAAACGGAAAAACUAUGAAGGAAUGGAAGAAGAAUUACAUACUAUAAAUAACUGCUUCAUCAAACACAAAAAGAUGGCAAAAGAAAUGGAAAAUGAAGUAGAUAAAAGUGACAAAAUCUGGGAUGAGGAUCGAAAGCGCAUUGAUCGCUUAGAGAAAAUUGUGGAGAAACUCCAGCCCCAGGUAGACGAAUUAAUGAAGAAAAACGAUAAUCUUGAAAUAGCACGGAUCACUAACAACUUCGGGUAUGGCCUUGCCGCACACAUCUACCCACCACGUACGAAAGUCAUGUUCGGUCCAAUCUUUGCAAACCUGAUGUUAUGGCUGGACGAGAGUAAGGAUAGACCAGAAGGGCGUGAAGGAAACAGGAAGUGGCGUGAAUUGAAGAAAGAGUUUAUCUGGUCAGAUGAGCACGAAAAAGUGUUCUAUAAAAUGCUCAAGUUCAGUAAGACUGUUGAUCACCAGAAGGUCGAUUUUCAAUCUGCCUUCACCGAUAGAGAGAAGCGAUACGUUGAUGUUAUCCGUAGAAUGAGCGAACAAUUAAAUUAAUAUUAAUUAAAAAGACGUUUGAUGAUAACUUUGGAAUUUAAUCUAAAUAUUACUAAUUUAUUCUCGUCUUGUUUUGACUGAACUCUUGGGUUUCAAGAUGAUAACCUUCCGCUUAUGUAUACUUGUCGGCUGGUAUUGGCAAUCUUAAGGUAAUCUUUUCAUGUAUCCACUUUUCUUUCAAGUUAUAAGUGUUUUAUUUACUUAAUAAACAUCGUAAAUUGACAUGGUAAAUAUUCAUGUAAUGUUGUAAUAAGACUUUAAUAUUAAUAAUUCUGUAUAUACGUAGUAGCAAUGAUGCAAUAUACUGUAUGUAUCAAGCUAAUGAUAACAAUACGUUUUUUAAUAAUGAA